Molecule: ribosomal RNA, 472 nt
Filed under: uncultured bacterium
Lineage: Bacteria
Description: bacterial SSU rRNA
Rfam family: Bacterial small subunit ribosomal RNA
Source: RNAcentral
ACGCUGGCGGCACGCCUAACACAUGCAAGUCGAACGGAGAAUUGAGAGCUUGCUCUUAAUUCUUAGUGGCGGACGGGUGAGUAACACGUGAGCAACCUGCCUCUGAGAGAGGGAUAGCUUCUGGAAACGGAUGGUAAUACCUCAUAACAUAACGAAACCGCAUGAUUUUUGUUAUCAAAGAUUUAUCACUCAGAGAUGGGCUCGCGUCUGAUUAGGUAGUUGGUGAGGUAACGGCUCACCAAGCCGACGAUCAGUAGCCGGACUGAGAGGUUGAACGGCCACAUUGGGACUGAGACACGGCCCAGACUCCUACGGGAGGCAGCAGUGAGGGAUAUUGCACAAUGGAGGAAACUCUGAAUGCAGCGAUGCCGCGUGGAGGAAGAAGGUUUUCGGAUUGUAAACUCCUGUUUCGAGGGACGAUAAUGACGGUACCUCGGGAGGAAGCUCCGGCUAACUACGUGCCAGCCGCAGC